Molecule: transfer RNA, 88 nt
Filed under: Candidatus Beckwithbacteria bacterium RBG_13_42_9
Lineage: Bacteria; Candidatus Beckwithiibacteriota
Description: tRNA-Ser
Rfam family: tRNA
About the family: Transfer RNA (tRNA) molecules are approximately 80 nucleotides in length. Their secondary structure includes four short double-helical elements and three loops (D, anti-codon, and T loops).
Source: RNAcentral
GGAGGAGUCGCCUAGCGGCCUAUGGCAGCGGUUUGCUAAACCGCGACCCGCAAGGGUCCCGUGAGUUCAAAUCUCACCUCCUCCGCAA